CGGGAUAACAACCUGGAAACAAGAAUGCUAAUAACCGGAUAACAACAGAUGAUGCCUAUCAACUGUUUAAAAGAUGGUUCUGCUAUCACUCUUGGAUGGACCUGCGGUGCAUUAGCUAGUUGGUAGGGUAACGGCCUACCAAGGCGAUGAUGCAUAGCCGAGUUGAGAGACUGAUCGGCCACAUUGGGACUGAGACACGGCCCAAACUCCUACGGGAGGCAGCAGUU
RNAcentral lists this ribosomal RNA (227 nucleotides) under uncultured Lactobacillus sp. RNAcentral describes it as "partial 16S ribosomal RNA". It matches the Rfam family "Bacterial small subunit ribosomal RNA", at positions 139 to 355 of the family's 1533-position model. The record is from RNAcentral. Lineage: Bacteria; Bacillati; Bacillota; Bacilli; Lactobacillales; Lactobacillaceae.